RNAcentral lists this ribosomal RNA (422 nucleotides) under uncultured bacterium. RNAcentral's name for it is "partial 16S ribosomal RNA". It matches the Rfam family "Bacterial small subunit ribosomal RNA", at positions 359 to 773 of the family's 1533-position model. The record is from RNAcentral.
GAAUUUUGGACAAUGGGCGAAAGCCUGAUCCAGCAAUGCCGCGUGCAGGAUGAAGGCCUUCGGGUUGUAAACUGCUUUUGUACGGAACGAAAAGCUUUAGGUUAAUACCAUGGAGCCAUGGCUGUCCCCUUGCCAUCAGCCCCGGCUAAACGCGGGCCGGCAGCCGCGGUAAUACGUAGGGUGCAAGCGUUAAUCGGAAUUACUGGGCGUAAAGCGUGCGCAGGCGGUUUUGUAAGACAGAGGUGAAAUCCCCGGGCUCAACCUGGGAACUGCCUUUGUGACUGAAAGGCUAGAGUACGGCAGAGGGGGGUGGAAUUCCGCGUGUAGCAGUGAAAUGCGUAGAUAUGCGGAGGAACACCGAUGGCGAAGGCAACCCCCUGGGCCUGUACUGACGCUCAUGCACGAAAGCGUGGGGAGCAAAC